This 424-nucleotide ribosomal RNA is filed under the name uncultured bacterium. RNAcentral describes it as "bacterial SSU rRNA". It matches the Rfam family "Bacterial small subunit ribosomal RNA", at positions 356 to 773 of the family's 1533-position model. The record is from RNAcentral.
GGGGAAUAUUGCACAAUGGGCGAAAGCCUGAUGCAGCAACGCCGCGUGAGUGAAGAAGGUUUUCGGAUUGUAAAGCUCUGUUGCCAGGGAAGAACGUCUUCUGGAGUAACUGCCAGGAGAGUGACGGUACCUGAGAAGAAAGCCCCGGCUAACUACGUGCCAGCAGCCGCGGUAAUACGUAGGGGGCAAGCGUUGUCCGGAAUUAUUGGGCGUAAAGCGCGCGCAGGCGGCUGUUUAAGUCUGGUGGUUAAUCCUGGGGCUCAACCCCGGGUCGCACUGGAAACUGGACGGCUUGAGUGCAGAAGAGGAGAGUGGAAUUCCACGUGUAGCGGUGAAAUGCGUAGAGAUGUGGAGGAACACCAGUGGCGAAGGCGACUCUCUGGGCUGUAACUGACGCUGAGGCGCGAAAGCGUGGGGAGCAAAC